CCUACGGGAGGCAGCAGUGAGGAAUAUUGGUCAAUGGUCGGAAGCCUGAACCAGCCAAGUAGCGUGCAGGAUGACGGCCCUACGUGUUGUAAACUGCUUUUAUCCGGGAAUAACGCGCCUUACGUGUAGGGCUUUGCAUGUACCGUAUGAAUAAGGACCGGCUAAUUCCGUGCCAGCAGCCGCGGUAAUACGGAGGGUCCGGGCGUUAUCCGGAUUUAUUGGGUUUAAAGGGGGCGUAGGCCGCAUGUCAAGCGUGCGGUGAAAUGUCCGGGCUCAACCCGGGCCUUGCGGUGGAAACUGGCGGGCUCGAGUCCGCGGAAAGCAGGCGGAAUGCGUCGUGUAGCGGUGAAAUGCUUAGAUAUGGCGAAGAACCCCGAUUGCGAAGGCAGCUUGCUGCAGCGGAACUGACGCUGAUGCUCGAAAGCGCGGGUAUCGAACAGGAUUAGAUACCCUAGUAGUC
Molecule: ribosomal RNA, 460 nt
Filed under: uncultured bacterium
Lineage: Bacteria
Description: partial 16S ribosomal RNA
Rfam family: Bacterial small subunit ribosomal RNA
Source: RNAcentral